Molecule: antisense RNA, 75 nt
Filed under: Actinosynnema mirum DSM 43827
Lineage: Bacteria; Bacillati; Actinomycetota; Actinomycetes; Pseudonocardiales; Pseudonocardiaceae
Description: ASpks TB sRNA
Rfam family: ASpks TB sRNA
Source: Rfam by way of RNAcentral
CUUCACCGACCCCAGCCACAGCGGUCGCCGCGGGUCCCGGUCCCGCCCGUAGGUGGCGAGCAGCGCCUGCGCCUC